This 371-nucleotide ribosomal RNA is filed under the name Bacillus velezensis. RNAcentral's name for it is "bacterial LSU rRNA". It matches the Rfam family "Bacterial large subunit ribosomal RNA", at positions 2309 to 2679 of the family's 2925-position model. The record is from RNAcentral. Lineage: Bacteria; Bacillati; Bacillota; Bacilli; Caryophanales; Bacillaceae.
CCCAAAGGUUCCCUCAGAAUGGUUGGAAAUCAUUCGCAGAGUGUAAAGGCACAAGGGAGCUUGACUGCGAGACCUACAAGUCGAGCAGGGACGAAAGUCGGGCUUAGUGAUCCGGUGGUUCCGCAUGGAAGGGCCAUCGCUCAACGGAUAAAAGCUACCCCGGGGAUAACAGGCUUAUCUCCCCCAAGAGUCCACAUCGACGGGGAGGUUUGGCACCUCGAUGUCGGCUCAUCGCAUCCUGGGGCUGUAGUCGGUCCCAAGGGUUGGGCUGUUCGCCCAUUAAAGCGGUACGCGAGCUGGGUUCAGAACGUCGUGAGACAGUUCGGUCCCUAUCCGUCGCGGGCGCAGGAAAUUUGAGAGGAGCUGUCCUU